GAUGAAGAACGCAGCGAAAUGCGAUAAGUAAUGUGAAUUGCAGAAUUCAGUGAAUCAUCGAAUCUUUGAACGCACAUUGCGCCCGCCAGUAUUCUGGCGGGCAUGCCUGUUCGAGCGUCAUUUCAACCAUCAAGCCCCGGGCCUGUGUUGGGGACCUGCGGCUGCCGCAGGCCCUGAAAUGCAGUGGCGGGCUCGCUGUCACUCCGAGCGUAGUAGUUACAUCUCGCUCUGGGCGUGCUGCGGGUUCCGGCCGUUAAAAGCCUUAUUUACCCAAGGUUGACCUCGGAUCAGGUAGGAAGACCCGCUGAACUUAAGCAUAUCAAUAAGCGGAGGA
This 334-nucleotide unclassified non-coding RNA is filed under the name soil metagenome. Its description in RNAcentral is "partial contains 5.8S ribosomal RNA, internal transcribed spacer 2, and large subunit ribosomal RNA". The stretch from base 1 to 120 matches the Rfam family "5.8S ribosomal RNA", at positions 35 to 154 of the family's 154-position model. The record is from RNAcentral.